RNAcentral lists this ribosomal RNA (274 nucleotides) under uncultured bacterium. RNAcentral's name for it is "partial 16S ribosomal RNA". It matches the Rfam family "Bacterial small subunit ribosomal RNA", at positions 523 to 796 of the family's 1533-position model. The record is from RNAcentral.
AUACGGAGGGUGCAAGCGUUACUGGGAAUCACUGGGCGUAAAGCGCGCGCAGGCGGCUAUUUAAGUUGGAUGAGAAAGCCUACGGCUCAACCGUAGAACUGCAUCCAAAACUAUUUAGCUAGAGUGUGGGAGAGGAAGAUGGAAUUAGUUGUGUAGGGGUAAAAUCCGUAGAGAUAACUAGGAAUACCAAAAGCGAAGGCAAUCUUCUGGAACACUACUGACGCUGAGGCGCGAAAGCGUGGGGAGCAAACGGGAUUAGAUACCCUAGUAGUCC